AGCGCACUCUUCGGAGUGAGCGGCGGACGGGUUAGUAACGCGUGGGAAUAUACCCUUUUCUACGGAAUAGCCUCGGGAAACUGAGAGUAAUACCGUAUACGCCCUUCGGGGGAAAGAUUUAUCGGUGAAGGAUUAGCCCGCGUCUGAUUAGAUAGUUGGUGGGGUAAUGGCCUACCAAGUCUACGAUCAGUAGCUGGUUUGAGAGGAUGAUCAGCAACACUGGGACUGAGACACGGCCCAGACUCCUACGGGAGGCAGCAGUGGGGAAUCUUAGACAAUGGGCGCAAGCCUGAUCUAGCCAUGCCGCGUGAGUGACGAAGGCCUUAGGGUCGUAAAGCUCUUUCGCCAGAGAUGAUAAUGACAGUAUCUGGUAAAGAAACCCCGGCUAACUCCGUGCCAGCAGCCGCGGUAAUACGGAGGGGGUUAGCGUUGUUCGGAAUUACUGGGCGUAAAGCGUACGUAGGCGGAUUGGAAAGUAGGGGGUGAAAUCCCAGGGCUCAACCCUGGAACUGCCUCCUAAACUAUCAGUCUAGAGUUCGAGAGAGGUGAGUGGAAUUCCAAGUGUAGAGGUGAAAUUCGUAGAUAUUUGGAGGAACACCAGUGGCGAAGGCGGCUCACUGGCUCGAUACUGACGCUGAGGUACGAAAGUGUGGGGAGCAAACAGGAUUAGAUACCCUGGUAGUCCACACCGUAAACGAUGAAUGCCAGACGUCAGGGGGCUU
RNAcentral lists this ribosomal RNA (722 nucleotides) under alpha proteobacterium GM46. RNAcentral's name for it is "bacterial SSU rRNA". It matches the Rfam family "Bacterial small subunit ribosomal RNA", at positions 65 to 833 of the family's 1533-position model. Lineage: Bacteria; Pseudomonadati; Pseudomonadota; Alphaproteobacteria. The record is from RNAcentral.